This 88-nucleotide non-coding RNA is filed under the name Paenibacillus mucilaginosus. RNAcentral describes it as "c-di-GMP sequence". It matches the Rfam family "c-di-GMP-I riboswitch aptamer". Rfam says of the family: GEMM was predicted in a large-scale screen for bacterial structured RNA regulatory elements. Genes associated with GEMM are involved in a diverse array of functions, including chemotaxis regulation, signal transduction, secretion and chitin. RNAcentral also lists the same sequence under 1 other name. The record is from RNAcentral. Lineage: Bacteria; Bacillati; Bacillota; Bacilli; Caryophanales; Paenibacillaceae.
UUCGUUUCAUGGCAAACCUGCCGAAAGGCAGGGACGCAAAGCUUAGGGUCUACGGUCCUGCAGGGACUAUGACAGCCUGGCCGCCGAA